Molecule: long non-coding RNA, 3487 nt
Organism: Nicotiana tabacum (common tobacco)
Lineage: Eukaryota; Viridiplantae; Streptophyta; Magnoliopsida; Solanales; Solanaceae
Source: RefSeq, a predicted model, not a curated record
UAGAAAGCGAGAGUUAGGGGCCUCUUCGUCGUCCUGGGUUUAUUUUAGGAAUUCGCCAUUCUGCUUCGGGGUUAUUUUUAGCUUUUGAUCAACACGUGUUGACAACUACAGUUUUCAGUCGACCAACCUCUCUCUCUCCUCUUUGUCUCUUUCGUCUUUUUCAUCGAGGAUUUGACAAAUAAACCCUAAUAGGCAGACGAAUGGGCAAAGCGCCUGCUUUAUCGUCCUUUUGUUCUUCAUCUUACUAUUUAUUGGCUUUGCUGCAAACAGCAUAUAUGGGCUUUGAGCUAUUCAUUAAAUAUAAUAUUUAGCGGCUUAGGUGAAUUCUAUGGUUUCGAAAACGGAUUUGACUGUUUGAAGGAAUGAAUCGCUCAUUGUCGUCUCCAGAUAGUGAUUACUUUGAAGAUAUUGAUCCUACCAUUGGUGUGAUUAGGCCUAAAACAAUAUUGCAUCUAUUAAAGCAAGAAGGAAAAUCAAGGGGCGCUGCUACAAAUCAAGUACGCAAGGCAAUUUCACUUGCUCAGAAAAUCAUCGUGUUGGACCGAUGAACUUUUACCAUCUGCAUCAGGCUAGCAAAGGCUGUUAAAAUUGGUUCAUUUCGGAUGGCUUAGGUUCGGGUUAAAAAAAAUUCUCGGUUCCUUUGCGAGGUUUGCUAGAAAUUUUAUAUUUCCACAUGUUUGUUUCAAAUUCAUUUGAAUAUCAUCACAAAGCAAUGCCUUGUUCAAGUAAAAAUUUCACCACAAAAGAAUGGACCAAGUUUGGAGGAUUGUGCUUGCUGGAUCAAUCUUGAGGGGACAUCGUCAAAUGUCGCUUUGCAGACAUUGCUCCAUCUUAUAUGCUCCUACAAUGAUCAUGAAAAUGGUAAACUUGUUGUCAAUAAUAUGGAUGAUGAGGUUGAGCAGGUUUCAAUGGAAUGAGUCUUGUGUUGAAUCAAUGAUCACAAGGAAACUAAGUUACGAUCUUGCUGGAUUCUUUUUUUUUUCCAGGUGUGAAAUGAAGCAUUAAGAUGACUGCAUUAGAAAAUCUGACAUUUCCAGCAGUCUAUUUAUUUUCAAUUUAUAGUCACCUCUUAUAGAGUUUGAUAAUCAUUUCACAGAAUACCAAUAGAGAUUAUACUCGGUAACCUGUGGUUAAAGUUUUGGCUUAAAUUCAUGUCAAAAGAUGGUGGUAUGGUGGAAAACGCUUUUUUGAUGAUCAGUUUACUGCUAGCACGAGGACAACAUUAUCCUGCUCUAUUACAUGUGCAAAUAGAUGGAUCAUAACCCUUUCUUAGGGUGUAUGCUUGAUGGAUACAUAGGAAUAUAAUGAGAAACAGAACAAUGGCUAUACAUGGUUAGUGGUUACCAAGAAAAUGCCACAUUUAAGAUCAAGUUGUAAAUGUGGGGAGUAAUUGUCCUACUAAAGCAAAAGGGCCCUCGGGGUACCAACUAUGGUCCAAUGGGCGAUUAUUGAAGCUUCAGGCCAUAGUGUUAUCACACCUGAAUUUUUUUUGAUGAUGUGAACCAAAACUCUUGAGACUAAAAAAGAUGCUGCAGGAAGCAAAGGAGACAUUGAAGAAGAUGCUUCAGGAAGCAAAGGAGACAUUGCAGUGCCUAAGCAAAGGAGACACGCUUUAGGCAUUGAAUUUAUUUAUUCGUAGUGUAAAUAAAUAAGUUGUGUAAUCUAGAUGCGCUAAAAAUGCAUAGUUUAGCAUAUAGAAAUUAUCUGUUAUCCUGAUUACUCCGGGGAAACUUGAAAGCUUGCCUCUCCUCUGCAUAUGUCGAUUAGGUGGUGUAUGUAUUGUCCCACUAUGAGUUCAUUGUGUGAAAUUCACUUUAAAGCUACUGCAUAGUCUUGCUUGCCUAUCUGAAAGUCUUGCCUUAUGUAUGGUGCAACCAAUUAUUUUUGUUUAUGCGAAUCAAUGUUUUUUCCCUUUUUUUUCUUUCUAAUAAAGCAAAAGUAUACAAAGUGAUGCUAAGUAGGGCUGAGAUUUUACUCUAUUUCUGCAGCUAACUCCAACAUUAAUGGAAGAGAAUUGACCUGAAGGUGAUUUAAAAGAGAUCUAGACAUAACUUGGAACAUGAUUCAGGUGGACAAUUAAAUAUAUAAUAUUGUGGAAAUGUAGCCAUUGGGAUGACUUACAUCAAAUUGUAAAAUAUUAAAUCAUACUCAAAACCUAAGGUAGAGAAUCCAUUUAAAUUUUGAGUCAAAUGGUUAUUGGAGAGUCACUUUCAUCCCUGUAUUGUGCAAAUAUAUACUUGACUAGAUCAACCUGUCUAGAUAAAUUUUUUUACUAUGUCUAACCGUUGCUUGGGUUAUUGAUGGUGACUGCUUCCGACCACCAAAAACCAUCUCUGAACCGACAUGUAACUUUACAGAACUUAUACUUAAAGAUCCAUUGGGACAAAAGAGGAGUCCAGAAAAAAUUUAUCAAAGCGCUUUGAGAUCGGUGGCGGAAACAACGGGGGAGUAGGUAAUCAUGGAGCCAAUUACAGGAGUUUUACCAGGAUGAUCUAAACUAAGAGAAAAUUUAAGUCAUCUAAUGAUGCCUUACAUCUCAUUGUGUACCUGUUUCUGUUGUAAAGAUCCUAUUGUCCCAUGCUCUUGCAAAUAUGUAGAUAAUAUGUCCAUUUGUUGUGAAAUGGACCGUGAACAUUAACUCCAUGCAGAAAUAGUCUGUUACAAGUAAACUUCCCUUAGGCUUAUUGAACUAUUAACAUGGCAUAAAAAUAUUUCCUUCCUGUAGUCUCCAAAUGAAGUCUUCUUUGUGUGUGUAAUUUUUUUUUAUAUGUUUGGCUGUUUUCAAGGCUCCUGGAGAGUUGAAGUGCAACAUAUUUCAGAUAAGAGUGUCAUAAUGAGUGAAAUUUCAGACACAAGGAGUAAUCUCUUGUUUGUGUUAAUUGAAAUAUGUUAUUAUGAUUUUCUAAAUGAGCUUGUCAGCAUAGCAUUGACCUAUACAUUCUCCUGCUUCACUGGCAAUUACCACAAAGUAGACCAGCUGCUAUUUGUUAAUGUUAUCUGUAUCCAUUUACUUUUAUCUUACAGGGCUCAUUUGAGUUGAUAUUUCUCUCACUGCAACCAAUUUAAAUGGUGGUAUCGAUUUUCUCUUGUACGGCGUAUACGGUUAAAAUCGGGCCCACCCGAUUUUACUGUUUGACCGAGACCGGGACUUUGCAUCAAAGGAUGACUCCGAAGUGGAUCGAAUCGAGGCACGAAGACAAGGUACCAAGAUCGAGGCUGACAACAAUCGAGACCAAACGAGACAGACAUCGAGCAAUACCGAUGAUAGCAUAAUAAUGGAAAAGCGAGAUAUCCUCGACUGGUCGAAGAUCAUGGCGGAAAUUUCGGAACGGAUCGAAUCAAGAACAGUUGUUUAGUUAAUCAUGGGAUUUCCUUCUGUAAUUAGAAUUGUACCAUAUAUAGAAUUCUUCUACUAUAUAAAGGGAGAGUUCUAACCAUUUGUAGAAACGACCGAGACAAAAAACAAUAUAAUUUUCUUUCUCGCUCA